UACGAAGGGGGCUAGCGUUGCUCGGAAUCACUGGGCGUAAAGGGUGCGUAGGCGGGUCUUUAAGUCAGGGGUGAAAUCCUGGAGCUCAACUCCAGAACUGCCUUUGAUACUGAAGAUCUUGAGUUCGGGAGAGGUGUGUGGAACUGCGAGUGUAGAGGUGAAAUUCGUAGAUAUUCGCAAGAACACCAGUGGCGAAGGCGGCUCACUGGCCCGAUACUGACGCUGAGGCACGAAAGCGUGGGGAGCAAACAGG
This 253-nucleotide ribosomal RNA is filed under the name uncultured bacterium. RNAcentral's name for it is "partial 16S ribosomal RNA". It matches the Rfam family "Bacterial small subunit ribosomal RNA", at positions 524 to 776 of the family's 1533-position model. The record is from RNAcentral.